This 592-nucleotide small RNA is filed under the name Ustilago cynodontis. RNAcentral describes it as "eukaryotic LSU rRNA". The stretch from base 122 to 276 matches the Rfam family "5.8S ribosomal RNA". Lineage: Eukaryota; Fungi; Basidiomycota; Ustilaginomycetes; Ustilaginales; Ustilaginaceae. The record is from RNAcentral.
CCAAGCUAGGCGACGGACCGACGCCUUACUUUAAACACUUUUGAUGAUCUAGGAUUUGAAGGAUAAAAGUUCAUUUUUACAAUGAAAUCGACUGGUAAUGCGGUCGUCUAAUUUUAAAAACAACUUUUGGCAACGGAUCUCUUGGUUCUCCCAUCGAUGAAGAACGCAGCGAAUUGCGAUAAGUAAUGUGAAUUGCAGAAGUGAAUCAUCGAAUCUUUGAACGCACCUUGCGCUCCCGGCAGAUCUAAUCUGGGGAGCAUGCCUGUUUGAGGGCCGCGAAUUGUUUCGAACGACAACUUUUUUCACAAAGAGUUGGCGGAUCGGUAUUGAGGGUUUUGCCAUUCACCGUGGCUCUCUCGAAAUGCAUUAGCGCAUCCAUUUGAUAGGCAAGACGGACGAAAGCUCCUCUUUCGCUCUCUCUUCCCUGCCGGGUUUUGAUAAUAUCAGGACUUCGGAGAGGUUGAGAUGGGUACGGAGCUGGACGCAACGGCUUGCUGUUUGGAGUGCUUCUGAAACCCGCCCAUGUCGAGCUUUUUUGCUCGAAAGGGAUUUACUAAUUCACAUCGGCCUCAGAUGGGUAGGACACCCCAUC